UGUCUUCUAAAUAAAGACUAGUAUGAACGGCUAAAUGAGGGCAAACCUGUCUCUUACGACUAAUCAGUGAAAUUGAUCUUCCAGUGCAAAAGCUGGAAUACUCACAUAAGACGAGAAGACCCUGUGGAGCUUAAAACAAACCACUAACACCAUAACACUAGUGUAAUGUCUUAAGUUGGGGCGACUUCGGAACAAAGCGAAACUUCCGAGCACGGAACCACCCCUUCCAACCAAGGCCUACAAGCCAAAACAAAGCCGACCCGGCCACGCCGAAAAACGAACCAAGUUACCCCAGGGAUAACAGCGCUAUCUUCUUCAAGAGUCCAUAUCGACAAGAAGGUUUACGACCUCGAUGUUGGAUCAGGACACCCAAAUGGUGCAGCCGCUAUUAAAGGUUCGUUUGUUCAACGAUUAACAGU
Molecule: ribosomal RNA, 419 nt
Filed under: Dasia vittata (striped tree skink)
Lineage: Eukaryota; Metazoa; Chordata; Lepidosauria; Squamata; Scincidae
Description: partial 16S rRNA
Rfam family: Bacterial large subunit ribosomal RNA
Source: RNAcentral